Molecule: long non-coding RNA, 94 nt
Organism: Malaclemys terrapin pileata
Lineage: Eukaryota; Metazoa; Chordata; Testudines; Emydidae
Exons: 2
Source: RefSeq, a predicted model, not a curated record
CUGCCUGCUGGAUGCUUCCUGGGAGCCGCUCCAGAUUUGCUGUUAUCCCUGUUGAGGCCAAAGUGGUUUGAAAAAUUAAAAAUCCUUGACACCA